AGUAACGGCGAGUGAAGCGGCAACAGCUCAAAUUUGAAAUCUGGCUCUCGGGCCCGAGUUGUAAUUUGUAGAGGAUACUUUUGAUGCGGUGCCUUCCGAGUUCCCUGGAACGGGACGCCAUAGAGGGUGAGAGCCCCGUCUGGUUGGAUGCCAAAUCUCUGUAAAGUUCCUUCAACGAGUCGAGUUGUUUGGGA
This 194-nucleotide ribosomal RNA is filed under the name Fusarium sp. Its description in RNAcentral is "partial large subunit ribosomal RNA". It matches the Rfam family "Eukaryotic large subunit ribosomal RNA", at positions 82 to 279 of the family's 3401-position model. RNAcentral also lists the same sequence under 2 other names. The record is from RNAcentral. Lineage: Eukaryota; Fungi; Ascomycota; Sordariomycetes; Hypocreales; Nectriaceae.